GCCUGGGUGGCUCAGUUGGUUGAGUGUCAGACUCUUGAUUUUAGCUCAGGUUCAUGGGGUCGAGCCCCAUGUCAGGCU
RNAcentral lists this transfer RNA (78 nucleotides) under Felis catus (domestic cat). It matches the Rfam family "tRNA". Rfam says of the family: Transfer RNA (tRNA) molecules are approximately 80 nucleotides in length. Their secondary structure includes four short double-helical elements and three loops (D, anti-codon, and T loops). The record is from Rfam by way of RNAcentral. Lineage: Eukaryota; Metazoa; Chordata; Mammalia; Carnivora; Felidae.